RNAcentral lists this long non-coding RNA (987 nucleotides) under Phoenix dactylifera (date palm). RNAcentral describes it as "long non-coding RNA (PDAC_LNC008801)". Lineage: Eukaryota; Viridiplantae; Streptophyta; Magnoliopsida; Arecales; Arecaceae. The record is from RNAcentral.
AGGGGUGAACAAGAAGAGGCGUGAAUUAAGGAAAGGAUAAGUAUGACUUGGAUGUGAGAGUCUCACCCAAAUCCAAAUCAAAGGAGGCGUUGAAGAGGAUAGGCAUCUCACCUUUUCCUUCAGCCUUUUGGCGUUGCACCAAGGGAAGAAUCACUCCUCGCAUGAAGCAAAACAAGAAUUUUUAAAACAGUAAAAACUGAUUUCAUUCUUCAUACUUUUUCUUAUAUAGAGAGAGAGGUUGGUAAAGAUAAGAAGUUACAACCAGAAAUUUUAUUUGGACUCCUAACCACAUAAGGACUCUUUUAAAAUUCAAAUCUCCUAAUUGACCAACUAAACAACUUGCCAACUAAGGCUUGGCCACUCAUGGAAACCCUUCUUGGCGUGCAGAUUGGAGCAUAGGAAGAAAGGAGUCAUCUGCAAGCAAGAGUCCUACUCCGAGUGGAAUUCCUUCUUGCCACAUGAGAUCAAGUCCUAAUGUGAUUAGGACUCUCUCCUUUAUGACACGUGGCCACUCCUACAUAACCAAUGACCUAUUCAACACCUUGGAUUCAAUUUGGUUAGGCAUUAAAGACACUAACCCAUUAUGAAUUAAAUCACUUAUUACAUGGACUCAAUCUCACUACAACUUGGACUCAAAUUUUCCUUACACGCCUAGACCCAAUGUUCCAUGCCUAAGGAGAAUUGAGGGUGAUGCUCCUACUUCAAUUUUUCCCGGCUGGAAAAAGACUCGACUCUAUCGAGUUUUGCGACUGAUAGAGCUCGUACAAGUUUGGGUUCAGCCAUUGGACUUCCUUCGUCUUCAACCAGGUGCAAUCUAAAAUUGGUCGAUCCUUCCAUUUAACUAAAAACUUCUAAUAUCCUUCUCGGCGAGUGGACACGAUCUGAUCAUCCAAGAUAUCUUCAAUAGUGUCUUUCGGGGCAGAUCGUCGAGGAAGUGAUGAUGGUACAGAUGGGAUGUCUUCAUCUUCAGCAUAGUAUCCAUCGUAG